CAAAAGGAAAAAUCGAUAUUAGGUUCAUAGGUUGUUCACGCUGCUAUGCCUUGGAUUGUUCACAAAUCUUCUUGUUGUAAUAAUACAAUCUGCUUGUUAUCUAUGAAUUCAGAGGUAUUGUUUUCAUUUCUUGAUUUCUUCUUCCUCUUCUGGUUUUGAUCCCUCUAUGUGUAUAACAGAGAAAGUGUUCCAUUGUUAUUUUCUUGGGGAAGAUUUUCCCUGGAACCAAACAAGAGCUGGGGUUCAGUGAGCUUUUUUUCUAAUUUUAAAGUUAUGGGUUUGUUUAGGAGUUGUGGAUUGUAGUUGAGUUUUGAGCUAAUCAUUCAUUUCCUGGUGUAACUAAUUUUAAGAUUUUCAUUGUUAUUUUGCCUUUUCUAUAUUCAUUGAAUAAUUGAAGCUAGCAUGAUUAAUCAGUUCUUGGGCUUUAUUUUGUUUUUGGGUAAAGGGUAUUUUUGGUGGAAAAAACAACUUUCCCAAUUUAUUGCCUUAAUUAUAGUUGGGAUAUAUAUAU
RNAcentral lists this unclassified non-coding RNA (511 nucleotides) under Hevea brasiliensis (rubber tree). Lineage: Eukaryota; Viridiplantae; Streptophyta; Magnoliopsida; Malpighiales; Euphorbiaceae. The record is from RNAcentral.